Molecule: transfer RNA, 77 nt
Filed under: Vreelandella salicampi
Lineage: Bacteria; Pseudomonadati; Pseudomonadota; Gammaproteobacteria; Oceanospirillales; Halomonadaceae
Description: tRNA-Ile
Rfam family: tRNA
About the family: Transfer RNA (tRNA) molecules are approximately 80 nucleotides in length. Their secondary structure includes four short double-helical elements and three loops (D, anti-codon, and T loops).
Source: RNAcentral
GGGCCCAUAGCUCAGUUGGUUAGAGCAGAGAACUCAUAAUUCUUUGGUCGCUGGUUCGAGUCCAGCUGGGCCCACCA